RNAcentral lists this transfer RNA (71 nucleotides) under Stegodyphus mimosarum. It matches the Rfam family "tRNA". Rfam says of the family: Transfer RNA (tRNA) molecules are approximately 80 nucleotides in length. Their secondary structure includes four short double-helical elements and three loops (D, anti-codon, and T loops). Lineage: Eukaryota; Metazoa; Arthropoda; Arachnida; Araneae; Eresidae. The record is from Rfam by way of RNAcentral.
GCCUUUGUAGUGUAACGGUAGCACACUCGGCGUGUAUUCAAGAGAUCCAGGUUCGAGUCUCGGCAAGGGCA